RNAcentral lists this ribosomal RNA (995 nucleotides) under uncultured bacterium. RNAcentral's name for it is "bacterial SSU rRNA". It matches the Rfam family "Bacterial small subunit ribosomal RNA", at positions 355 to 1375 of the family's 1533-position model. The record is from RNAcentral.
UGGGGAAUAUUGCACAAUGGGGGAAACCCUGAUGCAGCGACGCCGCGUGGAGGAAGAAGGUCUUCGGAUUGUAAACUCCUGUUGUUGGGGAAGAUAAUGACGGUACCCAACAAGGAAGUGACGGCUAACUACGUGCCAGCAGCCGCGGUAAAACGUAGGUCACAAGCGUUGUCCGGAAUUACUGGGUGUAAAGGGAGCGCAGGCGGGAAGACAAGUUGGAAGUGAAAUCUAUGGGCUCAACCCAUAAACUGCUUUCAAAACUGUUUUUCUUGAGUAGUGCAGAGGUAGGCGGAAUUCCCGGUGUAGCGGUGGAAUGCGUAGAUAUCGGGAGGAACACCAGUGGCGAAGGCGGCCUACUGGGCACCAACUGACGCUGAGGCUCGAAAGUGUGGGUAGCAAACAGGAUUAGAUACCCUGGUAGUCCACACCGUAAACGAUGAUUACUAGGUGUUGGAGGAUUGACCCCUUCAGUGCCGCAGUUAACACAAUAAGUAAUCCACCUGGGGAGUACGACCGCAAGGUUGAAACUCAAAGGAAUUGACGGGGGCCCGCACAAGCAGUGGAGUAUGUGGUUUAAUUCGACGCAACGCGAAGAACCUUACCAAGUCUUGACAUCCCUUGACAGACAUAGAAAUAUGUAAUCUCUUCGGAGCAAGGAGGCAGGUGGUGCAUGGUUGUCGUCAGCUCGUGUCGUGAGAUGUUGGGUUAAGUCCCGCAACGAGCGCAACCCUUAUGGUCAGUUACUACGCAAGAGGACUCUGGCCAGACUGCCGUUGACAAAACGGAGGAAGGUGGGGAUGACGUCAAAUCAUCAUGCCCUUUAUGACUUGGGCUACACACGUACUACAAUGGCGUUAAACAAAGAGAAGCAAGACCGCGAGGUGGAGCAAAACUCAGAAACAACGUCCCAGUUCGGACUGCAGGCUGCAACUCGCCUGCACGAAGUCGGAAUUGCUAGUAAUCGUGGAUCAGCAUGCCACGGUGAAUACGUUCCC